RNA transcript from Otolemur garnettii (small-eared galago), 1207 nucleotides. It is a transcript of the gene named annexin A2 pseudogene, with no coding region annotated. NCBI's taxonomy places the organism in Eukaryota, Metazoa, Chordata, Mammalia, Primates, Galagidae. The transcript has a single exon. The record is from RefSeq and is a predicted model, not a curated record.
GCAACUGGGUACGCAAGCAGCUCUCGGCACCCGGCCCAGCUUCUUUCAAAAUGUCUACUGUUCAUGAGAUUCUGUGCAAGCUCAGCUUGGAGGGUGACCACUCCACACCCACAAGUGCAUAUGGGUCAGUCAAAGCCUACACCAACUUUGAUGCUGAGUGGGAUGCUUUGAACAUCGAGACAGCCAUCAAGACCAAAGUGUGGAUGAGGUCACCAUUGUCAACAUUUUGACCAACCGCAGCAAUACACAGAGACAGGAAUCAGCACUGAAGUCAGCCUUAUCUCGCCACCUGGAGACGGUGAUUUUGGGCCUCCUGAAGACACCUGCUCAGUAUGAUGCUUCAGAGCUAAAAGCUUCCAUGAAGGGGCUGGGAACUGACGAGGACUCCCUCAUUGAGAUCAUCUGCUCCAGGAUCAACCAGGAGCUGCAGGAAAUUAGCAGUGUCUACAAGGAAAUGUACAAGACUGACCUGGAGAAGGACAUUUUUUCUGAUACAUCUGGAGAUUUCUGCAAGCUGAGGGCUACCCUCACAAAGGGUAGAAGAGCAGAGGAUGGCUCAGUCAUUGAUUAUGAACUGAUUGACCAAGACGCCUGGGAUCUCUAUGAUGCUGGAGUGAAGAGGAAAGAAACAGAUGUUCCCAAGUGGAUCAGCAUAAGACAGAGUUGAGUGUGUGCCACCUCCAGAAAGUAUUUGAUAGGUAUAAGAGCUAUAGCCCUUACGACAUGUUGGAGAGCAUCAAGAGGAAGUCAAAGGAGACUUGGAGACUGCGUUCCUGAACCUGGUCCAGUGCAUUCAGAACAAGCCCCUGUACUUUGCUGAUCGGUUGUAUGACUCCAUGAAGGGCAAAGGUACUCGCGAUAAGGUCCUGAUUAGAAUCAUGGUCGCCCGCAGUGAAGCGGACAUGUUGAAAAUCAGGUCUGAGUUCAAGAGAAAGUACGGCAAGUCCCUGUACUAUUACAUCCAGCAAGACGCUAAGGGUGACUCCCAGAAAGCGCUGCUGUACCUGUGCGGGGGAGACGACUGAAGCCUGGCCCGAACGGUUUCCAGCGUCCAGGAACGCGCUCCCUGUGCUUCCAGCUAACAGGCCUAGAAAACCAGCUUGCGCCUAACAGCCCCCGUGGCCAUUCCUGUGAGGAUAAAGUUAGCAUUGCCCCCAGCCUUGUUUUAGCUCCCUGAGCAUCGCCUGGCUUUCUUGUGUAGUCUCUC